Molecule: small nuclear RNA, 103 nt
Organism: Jaculus jaculus (lesser Egyptian jerboa)
Lineage: Eukaryota; Metazoa; Chordata; Mammalia; Rodentia; Dipodidae
Source: RefSeq, a predicted model, not a curated record
ACUUGCUUGAGCACAUAUAUACUAAAAUUGAAAUGAUACAGAAAAGGUAAGAAUGACUUUUACACAAAAUGACAGAAUAAUUUAUGAAGUAGUCCAUAUGUUU